This 269-nucleotide signal recognition particle RNA is filed under the name Sporosarcina thermotolerans. RNAcentral describes it as "signal recognition particle sRNA large type". It matches the Rfam family "Bacterial large signal recognition particle RNA". Rfam says of the family: The signal recognition particle (SRP) is a universally conserved ribonucleoprotein involved in the co-translational targeting of proteins to membranes. Archaeal SRP consists of a 7S RNA and homologues of the eukaryotic SRP19 and SRP54 proteins. The record is from RNAcentral. RNAcentral also lists the same sequence under 1 other name. Lineage: Bacteria; Bacillati; Bacillota; Bacilli; Caryophanales; Caryophanaceae.
CCGUGCUAGGUGGGGAGGUAGCGGUGCCCUGUAACUUGCAAUCCGCUCUAGCAAGACUGAAUCCCUUUACCGAGGCUGUAUCCGCAUGUAGGGCCUGCCUCUUGCACGUAGUGUUGACGUCUGGGUCCUGCGCAAUGGGAACCCAUGAACCAUGUCAGGUCCGGAAGGAAGCAGCAUUAAGUGGAAUUUCUCAUGUGCCGCGGGGCAGCCUAGGCUGAGCUGUCGACAGGAGUAACGCUUAUGUGCGGCAGUCGAAGGAAGGUGCACGG